CUUCUGAGAAGAAAGUGUCUUUAUAGUGCUUGCUAAUUCCUGGCAUCCUAUGUUUUUCCUUCCCAGAAUGCCCCUGAAGAAAAAGAGGAAGUAUGUGAAAAUUUCCGGCAAUCCAGGAAUCAUGGUAAAAUCGACCUGGAGAAACUAGAACACCGAGCCUUGCUGAACAACAAUCAUUCUGAGAGUGAAAGAGAACAUGUGGUUUCCACCUACGGUUUAAUACAUACCACCAAGAAGGGCUUGCGUGAUGCUACCCCUUCAUCACCUGACCCCAAAAAUGCCCCUGAAGAAAAAGAGGAAGUAUGUGAAAAUUUCCGGCAAUCCAGAAAUCAUGGUAAUAUC
Molecule: non-coding RNA, 342 nt
Organism: Ictidomys tridecemlineatus (thirteen-lined ground squirrel)
Lineage: Eukaryota; Metazoa; Chordata; Mammalia; Rodentia; Sciuridae
Source: RefSeq, a predicted model, not a curated record